This 497-nucleotide ribosomal RNA is filed under the name uncultured bacterium. RNAcentral's name for it is "partial 16S ribosomal RNA". It matches the Rfam family "Bacterial small subunit ribosomal RNA", at positions 28 to 507 of the family's 1533-position model. The record is from RNAcentral.
GAUGAACGCUGGCGGCGUGCCUAAUACAUGCAAGUCGAGCGAACGGACGAGAAGCUUGCUUCUCUGAUGUUAGCGGCGGACGGGUGAGUAACACGUGGAUAACCUACCUAUAAGACUGGGAUAACUUCGGGAAACCGGAGCUAAUACCGGAUGAUAUUUUGAACCGCAUGGUUCAAAAGUGAAAGACGGUCUUGCUGUCACUUAUAGAUGGAUCCGCGCUGCAUUAGCUAGUUGGUAAGGUAACGGCUUACCAAGGCAACGAUGCAUAGCCGACCUGAGAGGGUGAUCGGCCACACUGGAACUGAGACACGGUCCAGACUCCUACGGGGGGCAGCAGUAGGGAAUCUUCCGCAAUGGGCGAAAGCCUGACGGAGCAACGCCGCGUGAGUGAUGAAGGUCUUCGGAUCGUAAAACUCUGUUAUUAGGGAAGAACAUAUGUGUAAGUAACUGUGCACAUCUUGACGGUACCUAGUCAGAAAGCCACGGCUAACUACGUG